AGCUCAGUACUAGAGCAUUUGACUGAAGAUCAAGAGGUCCCCAGUAUAAAUCUGGG
This is a non-coding RNA of Xenopus tropicalis (tropical clawed frog), 56 nucleotides long. The record is from Rfam. NCBI's taxonomy places the organism in Eukaryota, Metazoa, Chordata, Amphibia, Anura, Pipidae.